CCUCAGAUCCACGGAGCGCUCCCUCCCCACCCACGCCUCCUCAGAUCCUCCGCAGCAGGCCAGCGAGCGGCGACCCCCAGGCGCUCCAUGGCAGGUCCACGCACUGCACAGGGGCUACACGGAGGGCGGCGGCUCGACGCCGCUAGCGCGCAGCUCCGUCUUCGCGAGGCAUCCAGACCCCUGGUUGCAGUUCCCCUGAUGAUGAAGGCAUCCUUGUCGAUGGAACGGAUGAUGUGCAGGAGGAAGAUGGUAUUGCUGCUGUAAUCCCAUGAUUGUACUGCAUGAUCGGAAGUUCACUGUGAGUAUGCAGUUACACUCUUGGAUCAGGAUAACUACAUAGCUACAUGCAAAAGCCAUGUGAGUGAACCUCAAAUGCAAUCUAACAGACAACUUUAGCAGUCUCCGAUCAGGAAAACAGGGGCUGUCUAACUUAUGUUUGCUGUAUGCCUGAAAUCUUUUAGGUGAAGUUAUAUAUCAUGCGUUGAUGUUUCAGUCCAUGUUAUAAUCUAUAUACUUGGAUAAAUAUUAUGUCCAUUUUAAGUUAAACCUGUGGUGAGAUGUGUGUGGUCCUAUUGCUAAGUACAAAGCAUUGUGUUGUGUUACUUUUGAUUCAACUAAUACCAGCACAGUAUAACUUUGAUAGAAAUUCAGGCAUUGUGGUUUGGGUGAUGGCUCAUGUUAAAGAAAAUUAGCUAAGUAUUCUUUUAUUCUGUCCUAUGCAAAGUAAUUUCGUUACUGCAUGGUGCUUCAUUCUAAAUGAUUAAUGGUUGGUAGAAUCUUAUGUGAUCAGAAUGAUUAAACUUAUGUUAUCCUGCACAUAACUUGCUGAUUUUUGCAACUGCAAUACCUUUAUAGCAUGGAUAAAUACAUGCUUGUUUUAACAACGCUGCUCCUUUUCUUGUGAUAACUUGUGCAGGAUUGGCUUGGCACAGACUUUGCAAUUGCCGAAGCUGUCAAUUUCGUAGUAGAAUCAGAGAGGCAGGGUUCAACAACACUUAGAAAAUGGAUGACCAACAAUGUGAGCUAGAAGAUCUGAAGUAGCAAGGGAGAAUCAAUGGGGAGAGAUUGGAAGUUUGAAGAAGCAAGGAGAGGAAAGCAAUGCUCUUCUUUGCUGCUUGUUAUGCCUCAACAGGGAGUAAGUCCUUGACUACUUCUAGGUUCAUGAUGUGGUCUAUUUAUUUUGCUACAUGUGCUUGGAUAGUUGUUUCGGCUCUACGGUGGCUGGUAUAUACUUUUUGGCUAUGAGUCCAUAGAGUUAUCUUGGCUGUUUAGUGAACCUGUUAUGGAAUGGAGUGACUUGUCUUUUU
This is a long non-coding RNA of Panicum virgatum (switchgrass), 1307 nucleotides long. RefSeq lists it as uncharacterized. The transcript is spliced from 2 exons. The record is from RefSeq and is a predicted model, not a curated record. Lineage: Eukaryota; Viridiplantae; Streptophyta; Magnoliopsida; Poales; Poaceae.